Vicia faba (fava bean) is the source of this 171-nucleotide non-coding RNA. The record is from the annotation of a GenBank genome assembly. Lineage: Eukaryota; Viridiplantae; Streptophyta; Magnoliopsida; Fabales; Fabaceae.
AUGGUUGACUCGUGGGCGUUGUGCAUUCUUGGGAGUUGUAGAAGGCUGAGUGAAAUGAGCAUGAACAUGGCAUGUUUGGGAGGUUGGCACAGUGAUGAUGAAUGCUCGCAGACUGUGAUAAAGACGCGCGAGGAGGUGAAGAUGGUUAAAGCAGUAGAUCAAGAUCAAUAG